AGUGAACGCUGGCGGUAGGCCUAACACAUGCAAGUCGAACGGCAGCACAGUAAGAGCUUGCUCUUACGGGUGGCGAGUGGCGGACGGGUGAGGAAUACAUCGGAAUCUACUUUUUCGUGGGGGUUAACGUAGGGAAACUUACGCUAAUACCGCAUACGACCUACGGGUGAAAGCAGGGGAUCUUCGGACCUUGCGCGAUUGAAUGAGCCGCUGUCGGAUUAGCUAGUUGGCGGGGUAAAGGCCCACCCAGGCGACGAUCCGUAGCCGGUCUGAGAGGAUGAUCAGCCACACUGGAACUGAGACACGGACCAGACUCCUACGGGAGGCAGCAGUGGGGAAUAUUGGACAAUGGGCGCGAGCCUGAUCCAGCCAUACCGCGUGGGUGAAGGAGGCCUUCGGGUUGUAAAGCCCUUUUGUUGGGAAAGAAAAGCAGCAGGUUAAUACCCCGCUGUUCUGACGGUACCCAAAGAAUAAGCACCGGCUAACUUCGUG
This 492-nucleotide ribosomal RNA is filed under the name uncultured bacterium. RNAcentral's name for it is "partial 16S ribosomal RNA". It matches the Rfam family "Bacterial small subunit ribosomal RNA", at positions 29 to 507 of the family's 1533-position model. The record is from RNAcentral.